AUGGAGCUGCCAUCAAACGCUCAAGCAGCCGCACAACUGGCUGGUCCAGGGGGCCCACCGCAAAACUUGGCUCCCAACCUUGAUUAUGGAGAAUACGACUACACUAUAGAGGAAUUAGAAACAUACGGGGAGUUAGAGACCAGUUUACCACAGAGACUAACGGAGGCCCUCAAUCAACAGCUGCCUGAGAACAAGCUGUUGGAAGAUGUUCCAGAAUAUAUACCAGAACUGAAUAUAAAUGAUGAUGACCUUUUGAAACCAGGUGUUCAUGUUCAACCCACUGAUUCUUUUGUUUAUCAAGAUCCUUUUGAAGUAGCUCAAACAUACUUGGAAAAACAUGGCAUUAUGCAAAUAUUCCAGCGGAUCACUGAAAACUUAAUAUAUGAACAGCCCGAUGACCCUUUGCGCUUUUUGCUGUGGCAGAUUCAGGACAUAAUCAAAGAGAGGGAUUCCUCCUAAAACCUGCAAAUAAAGAACACCUCAUUCUCCA
Molecule: long non-coding RNA, 490 nt
Filed under: Monodelphis domestica (gray short-tailed opossum)
Lineage: Eukaryota; Metazoa; Chordata; Mammalia; Didelphimorphia; Didelphidae
Description: lncRNA (ENSMODG00000037580.1)
Source: RNAcentral